UACCAGCUCUCCGAGUGGUAGGGAUGUUUAUUGGGCUUAAAGCGUCCGUAGCCGGCUUAGCAAGUCUCCUGUUAAACUCAGCGACCUAAUCGUUGAGCCGCGGGAGAUACUAUUAGGCUAGGAGGCGGGAGAGGUCAACGGUACUUCCGGGGUAGGGGUGAAAUCCUAUAAUCCCGGGAGGACCACCAGUGGCGAAGGCUGUCUGCUAGAACGCGCUCGACGGUGAGGGAUGAAAGCGUGGGGGAGCGAACCGGAUUAGAUACCCGGGUAGUCCCAGCUGUAAACGAUGCAGGCUAGGUGUUUGGGAUGGCUACGGGCCAUUUCGGUGCCGCAGGGAAGCCAUUAAGCUCGCCGCCUGGGGAGUACGGCCGCAAGGCUAGAAACUUAAAGGAUUGGCGGGGAGCACCACAAGGCGUGAAGCUUGCGGUUC
RNAcentral lists this ribosomal RNA (430 nucleotides) under uncultured archaeon. RNAcentral describes it as "bacterial SSU rRNA". It matches the Rfam family "Archaeal small subunit ribosomal RNA", at positions 474 to 903 of the family's 1478-position model. The record is from RNAcentral.